RNAcentral lists this small nucleolar RNA (71 nucleotides) under Trypanosoma rangeli SC58. RNAcentral's name for it is "Trypanosomatid snoRNA TB11Cs2H1". It matches the Rfam family "Trypanosomatid snoRNA TB11Cs2H1". The record is from Rfam by way of RNAcentral. Lineage: Eukaryota; Euglenozoa; Kinetoplastea; Trypanosomatida; Trypanosomatidae.
AACGCUCUCUCAUGUAGUGUGCCCGUCGCAAAACCAACAGACGUGGUGCACGAAACUGGAGAGCAAGAAAG